This 88-nucleotide transfer RNA is filed under the name Candidatus Heimdallarchaeota archaeon LC_2. RNAcentral's name for it is "tRNA-Ala". It matches the Rfam family "tRNA". Rfam says of the family: Transfer RNA (tRNA) molecules are approximately 80 nucleotides in length. Their secondary structure includes four short double-helical elements and three loops (D, anti-codon, and T loops). Further hydrogen bonds mediate the characteristic L-shaped molecular structure. tRNAs have two regions of fundamental functional importance: the anti-codon, which is responsible for specific mRNA codon recognition, and the 3' end, to which the tRNAs corresponding amino acid is attached (by aminoacyl-tRNA synthetases). tRNAs cope with the degeneracy of the genetic code in two manners: having more than one tRNA (with a specific anti-codon) for a particular amino acid; and 'wobble' base-pairing, i.e. permitting non-standard base-pairing at the 3rd anti-codon position. Lineage: Archaea; Promethearchaeati; Candidatus Heimdallarchaeota. The record is from RNAcentral.
GGGCUGAUAGAUCAGACCGGUAGAUCGCUUCGCUUGCAAUAGCAAACGAGAACCGAAGAGGCCGCGGGUUCAAAUCCCGCUCAGUCCA